CAUGCAGUCGACGAACUUCCGUUAAUUGAUUAUGACGUACUUGUACUGAUUGAGAUUUUAACACGAAGUGAGUGGCGAACGGGUGAGUAACACGUGGGUAACCUGCCCAGAAGUAGGGGAUAACACCUGGAAACAGAUGCUAAUACCGUAUAACAGAGAAAACCGCAUGGUUUUCUUUUAAAAGAUGGCUCUGCUAUCACUUCUGGAUGGACCCGCGGCGUAUUAGCUAGUUGGUGAGGUAAAGGCUCACCAAGGCAGUGAUACGUAGCCGACCUGAGAGGGUAAUCGGCCACAUUGGGACUGAGACACGGCCCAGACUCCUACGGGAGGCAGCAGUAGGGAAUCUUCCACAAUGGACGCAAGUCUGAUGGAGCAACGCCGCGUGAGUGAAGAAGGGUUUCGGCUCGUAAAGCUCUGUUGUUAAAGAAGAACGUGGGUAAGAGUAACUGUUUACCCAGUGACGGUAUUUAACCAGAAAGCCACGGCUAACUACGUGCCAGCAGCCGCGGUAAUACGUAGGUGGCAAGCGUUAUCCGGAUUUAUUGGGCGUAAAGCGAGCGCAGGCGGUCUUUUAAGUCUAAUGUGAAAGCCUUCGGCUCAACCGAAGAAGUGCAUUGGAAACUGGGAGACUUGAGUGCAGAAGAGGACAGUGGAACUCCAUGUGUAGCGGUGAAAUGCGUAGAUAUAUGGAAGAACACCAGUGGCGAAGGCGGCUGUCUGGUCUGCAACUGACGCUGAGGCUCGAAAGCAUGGGUAGCGAACAGGAUUAGAUACCCUGGUAGUCCAUGCCGUAAACGAUGAUUACUAAGUGUUGGAGGGUUUCCGCCCUUCAGUGCUGCAGCUAACGCAUUAAGUAAUCCGCCUGGGGAGUACGACCGCAAGGUUGAACUCAGAA
RNAcentral lists this ribosomal RNA (895 nucleotides) under Lacticaseibacillus paracasei. RNAcentral's name for it is "bacterial SSU rRNA". It matches the Rfam family "Bacterial small subunit ribosomal RNA", at positions 54 to 906 of the family's 1533-position model. The record is from RNAcentral. Lineage: Bacteria; Bacillati; Bacillota; Bacilli; Lactobacillales; Lactobacillaceae.